RNAcentral lists this ribosomal RNA (324 nucleotides) under uncultured bacterium. RNAcentral describes it as "bacterial SSU rRNA". It matches the Rfam family "Bacterial small subunit ribosomal RNA", at positions 28 to 334 of the family's 1533-position model. The record is from RNAcentral.
GAUGAACGCUGGCGGCGGUGCUUAACACAUGCAAGUCGAACGAAGCACUUAAGAUUGAUUCUUCGGAUGAAGUCUUUUGUGACUGAGUGGCGGACGGGUGAGUAACGCGUGGGUAACCUGCCUCAUACAGGGGGAUAACAGUUAGAAAUGACUGCUAAUACCGCAUAAGCGCACAGGACCGCACGGUCUGGUGUGAAAACUCCGGUGGUAUGAGAUGGACCCGCGUCUGAUUAGCUAGUUGGUGAGGUAACGGCCCACCAAGGCGACGAUCGGUAGCCGACCUGAGAGGGUGAUCGGCCACAUUGGGACUGAGACACGGCCCAA